This 7952-nucleotide long non-coding RNA is filed under the name Hordeum vulgare. Its description in RNAcentral is "long non-coding RNA (HVUL_LNC014447)". Lineage: Eukaryota; Viridiplantae; Streptophyta; Magnoliopsida; Poales; Poaceae. The record is from RNAcentral.
GCGGUGGAAGGGGUGCCCGCUACCGCUGCCACGGCUGCGAUUUCGACCUGCAUCUCUCCUGCGCCACCUACAACUUCCCCUGCCAUGGUCACCCGCUCAAGUAUCAGCCGCGCUGUCCUUCAGGUGUCCAGUGUUAGGUUGAUCUCUUCCGCGUGGGCCCAACGGCCCACCGGGCCCUUGAUCUAUGCGCCCUGAUCGGGGGCGCCCAACCCGUUAUGGUUGGUGGGCCCCUGUGACGUGCGCUAUAUAUAAAGUGGUGGGGCCGGGGCGCACGGUACGAGGUUCACCGCGCCGCCAGACUCCCCACCUAAAUCCCCUUUCGAUCUAGGGUUAGCGCAGUGCUCACGGGAAGCACCACCCACGAUCACACCUUUUCCCUCACGCCACCGACGACUACACCGGCACUGAUGGCCGGAGCAGGGAGUUCCUCGGGCUCGGGACUAGGUGAGUAAAAGGUUUCACCGGAUCUAUCUAUGCCUAGUCGAUCUACGGCUUUAACAUUGGUAUCAUGAGCCACUAGGCAGAGGUUUAUUCGGUACAAAGAAAAGAAAGCAUUUGUUCCCCAUCCCUACGAACCCUAGAUGGGCAAGGCACUGAGGAUGGCUACGGCCUCGUCAGAAAAGAAGCGCCGCCGCAAGGCCGCGCCUAUUCCUCUCGAUCCCCACACGCAUCGGCAAGCCGAGGUGCGGAGAAGAAGAACCUACCCCCUCGGGGGCUAAGUACGGAUCAAGAUCCGAAAGGAAAAAACAAAAAGAAAGGGGGAACGAUGCAAAACAAGGACAAAAGAAAACAUGUCGGGUCAGAUCAGAAAAGGCAAAAAAGAUAGGGAGAAUGGCAACGAGGCACCACGGCCAACCCACUCGACGGCGACGCGCUCCCCGCAAAGGAACGCGCCACCGGCGAAACCGGAGGCCACGGCGCCAUGUUCCUUUUCUCUGUAAAGAAAAACAUAGGAGAUUCCGGUGAGGGGCUUGGCUACAGCGCAAGCGAAAGGCAGGGUGGAUGGCACCCCAACGCCCCCCUUGACGGCGGCGCACUCUCCCUCGGGAGAGGGCGCGCACCGGCAAGAGGAGCGGAGGGGGCCGCCGCUGCAUGACAUGGUGGCCGGUCGGCAGAUCUGACCCUCUCCGGCGGGGCAAGAGCCUCCACGCGAGAGAGAAAAAAGGGCCGGCCGAGGCUCUCGCUGGCGGGGCGAGACGCCGCCGCGCAGAGAAGCCCGAGCCGGCAAAAAAAGGAAAAAGGGCCGGCCGAGGCUCUCGCUGGCGGGGCGAAACGCCGCCGCGCAGAGAAGCUCGAGCCGGCAAAAGGAAGAAGAAGGGCCGGCCGAGGCUCUCGCCGACGGGGCAAGGCACCACCGCGAACGAGCAGCUCAAGCCGACCACGGGCGAGAAGGACUGAUAGAGCGGCGCGGGUGGGAAAAUGAGGGGUAGGGUCUCCCCUCCCCACCGGCCCAGCCUUUUUGUUCCCCCGAGGGCCGCGGGGGACCGUCCGAUCUGACGGAUGGCCAGGAUCGCCCCCUAUGAAACCCUAGGCGCGGCUCGGGCCUCUAAGNNNNNNNNNNNNNNNNNNNNNNNNNNNNNNNNNNNNNNNNNNNNNNNNNNNNNNNNNNNNNNNNNNNNNNNNNNNNNNNNNNNNNNNNNNNNNNNNNNNNCGUCCAGUGCAACCCGGGCCGCAGGUGUGGCUGAUUGAUUUCAAAAAUAGUUCUCCCCUUCCGCAUAUCGAAUAACAGUUCUCCCUUGCGCAUUACUUCUUUGAUUUGGUACGCUCCAGUGUCUGUAUUAAAAAAUAUGAAUGGUUCUCUUUACCAUGUGAUUUCUUUCAUUGCAUAUGGUCUAUAAUUGUAUCAAAAUUUGGACUGCUUAUUGUAUUGUCUUCAAUAAUGUAAAGUUUAUUCCUGAAUUAAUAAAUUGUUGUUUCGCAAAUGAUUAUUGUUUCGCAAAUUGUGUAUACACUCUGAUCCUUAACAAGUAUGGCUUGAAGACUUACACACCAAGUCUUUGUGUAUAUGCUUUGAUUCUAAAUCAAAUCAUGUUGCUUAAUUACUCAAACCGCGUCUCAAGCCAUUAUUUCUUUUGUGUAGUUAGUUGGGUACUAAUACUACGCGCCCCACACAUGCACGCAUCUUAUACAUCUAGACUAUAUAUAAACCUCCACAGCGCGCUGCAAAACAAAAAACACCCAAUCCCAAACCCAACCCAAGAGGAAGAACACAGGAAGCAAACGUCCAUCGGGCAUGGCGAUCCACCACCACAGCCAUGGGUGCCCGCUUGUCCGCCAUGAGCACGGCGACUUCACCUGCGACGGCUGCGGCCGCGGUGGAAGGGGUGCCCGCUACCGCUGCCACGGCUGCAAUUUCGACCUGCAUCUCUCCUGUGCCACGUACAACUUCCCCUGCCAUGGUCACCCGCUCAAGUAUCAACCGCGCUGUCCUUCAGGUGUCCAGAUCAUCUGCGAUGCUUGUAACACAAAUGUGUGCGGUGCACACUAUGGUUGCGCUGGCUGCGACUUCCAAGUCCACCCCGCCUGCGUCCAGCGUCGGACGACCAUAGUCCCGCCACAGCCAACAACGAAUUGCACGCCGCGGCCCUGUGGGUAUUGCACCGUCUACUGUGUCUAUUGCGUCCGGUGCAACCCGGGCCGCAGGUGUGGCUGAUCGAUUUCAAAAAUAGUUCCACCUUCCGCAUAUCGAAUAAUAGUUGCCCCUUCUGCGUUACUUCUUCGAUUUUGUAAGCUGCAGUGUCUGUAUUUUUUAAAAUAUGAUUGUUUCCCUCAUCUAUAUUUUACUAUGUGAUUUCUUUCACUGCAUAAGGUCCGUAAUUGUAUUGAAAUUUGGAUUGCUUAUUGUAUUGUCUUCAAUAAUAUAAAGUUUAUUCCUGAAUUAAUGAAUUGUUGUCUCGCAAAUGAUUGUUGUUUCACAAAUUGUGUAUACGCUUUGAUCCUUAACAAGUAUGAAUUGUGUGUGCAUCUCGAGUCCUUGACAAAUAAACAAGGUGUAUUUGUCAAUCCAAGUACAAUGAUAUCUAAAAAAAUGUUCAUGUGUUUCAACAUAAUAUUCAUACAAUGUAAGAACGUCUUCACAAAUUGAAAAUAAUGUUCAUACCAUUCAAGAAAAAGCACAUGAUAUCUAAAAAAUGUUCAUUGAUUUCAACAUAAUAUUUUUGAUGCAUUUUAAAAAAUAAUUACACAAUACAAUAAAUGUUUGCAUAAUGAAAAAUAAAAUGCUUGGUACCAUUCAAACAAAAUGUACCUGACAUUUAGAAAAAUGGUUAAGGAAAACUUUAAAAAUGAUAUAUGCAAUGUAAAGAAAUGUUCACGUAAUUUAGAAAAGUUUUGUAUCUAUUUAAAAAAAUUCUGCAUCUAUUGGAAAAAUAUUUAACAUGUAUGUGAAUAAUAUUCAAUGUAUAUCAAAAACAACUAACGCAUGUACCGAACUGUAAAUACGGUUGCCCUAUUGAUAACAUCGUUUCUCGCUACCCCUUGAUAAACACAUGUAUUGGUCGACAUAAUUUUUAUUUUAUUUUAACGGUCAAUGUAAAGUUAAAUAGAGAGAUACCUUUCAUAGAACCUAGCAAUCGAUGGUGUUCUUUCCGUGUAAUGAGGAUGCAUAUUCAAAUAACAAUUUGCAACAUAAAAAUGAGUUUGAUAUCAAUCUAUACGGUGUUCCUAAAAUUUGAAUUGAUAAUUAGUUUUAAAAAUCCGGAUGGCAGUUUUCGGUAUCCGCGGUAACCAUGUUUCUCGCUCCCCUCGCUGAAAUUAAACAUUGGUUUUACGAUAGAAAUGCUAAAACAUCCUUAGAAUUAAUUAAGUGGGAGAGCCCAGGAUACACUAUGUUUACAUACCGUGACGUGUGACAAAUGAAUACACUGUAUCUAAACAUCUAAGAGGCUUCAAAGCCUGUUGAAGCUUCUCUUUUAUUCGUACACAACUACGUUCAAUCCAAACUUGCUAACCCCUCCUUUUCGGUUUACAGGUCUCAUCUUAAAAAUUUCUGAUUUCCGUUAUAUUAGGCUCAUUUUAAGUCUAACUGAAUUAAAAUGCUUUGAGUUUCACGCCAUAUUUAAUUCAUAGAGAUUAGAGAAAAAAAUUAAUGGAUAUGCAUGCAUCUUUUUCUACAUUCAUCAUGCAAGUCCAAUGAAAAGAAGGAUGCUACAUUUAUUGCCUCGAAAAUUAAAUAUGUGAGAAAUAUUUCAUUGGCUAGUUAAAACUAGUGCUAUCCUCUCAUAAUUCACCUUGAUUAAUUGGAUUUUAGAUUUGAGUCCUAUAAACUGAAAAGGAGGGAGUAUAUCCCAAGAUGUAGGAAAAUAUCCGCUUAAAGGAAAGUUUGUCUUGCUUGACUGCCAAACCUAAGACAAACCUUUCCACUCAUGGGGCAAAUGGUGUUAGAUGGGAAAGACCUAAAAAGGAUUGACUGAACCCAAAUUUGGACGGAUCUUUCACAUCUGAUGGAACCGUGGUAUGAUCUUGCGUGACCAUUUGGGAAAAANNNNNNNNNNNNNNNNNNNNNNNNNNNNNNNNNNNNNNNNNNNNNNNNNNNNNNNNNNNNNNNNNNNNNNNNNNNNNNNNNNNNNNNNNNNNNNNNNNNNGUGUAUACGCUUUGAUCCUUAACAAGUAUGAAUUGUGUGUGCAUCUCGAGUCCUUGACAAAUAAACAAGGUGUAUUUGUCAAUCCAAGUACAAUGAUAUCUAAAAAAAUGUUCAUGUGUUUCAACAUAAUAUUCAUACAAUGUAAGAACGUCUUCACAAAUUGAAAAUAAUGUUCAUACCAUUCAAGAAAAAGCACAUGAUAUCUAAAAAAUGUUCAUUGAUUUCAACAUAAUAUUUUUGAUGCAUUUUAAAAAAUAAUUACACAAUACAAUAAAUGUUUGCAUAAUGAAAAAUAAAAUGCUUGGUACCAUUCAAACAAAAUGUACCUGACAUUUAGAAAAAUGAUUAAUGAAAACUUUGAAAAUGAUAUAUGCAAUGUAAAGAAAUGUUCACGUAAUUUAGAAAAGUUUUGUAUCUAUUUAAAAAAAUUCUGCAUCUAUUGGAAAAAUAUUUAACAUGUAUGUGAAUAAUAUUCAAUGUAUAUCAAAAACAACUAACGCAUGUACCGAACUGUAAAUACGGUUGCCCUAUUGAUAACAUCGUUUCUCGCUACCCCUUGAUAAACACAUGUAUUGGUCGACAUAAUUUUUAUUUUAUUUUAACGGUCAAUGUAAAGUUAAAUAGAGUGAUACCUUUCAAAGAACCUAACAGUCGAUGGUGUUCUUUCCGUGUAAUGAGGAUGCAUAUUCAAUUAACAAUUUGCAGCAAAAAAAUGAGUUUGAUAUCAAGCUAUACGGUGUUCCUAAAAUUUUAAUUCAUAAUUAGUUUGAAAAAUCCGGAUGGCAGUUUUCGGUAUCCGCGGUAACCAUGUUUCUCGCUCCCCUCGCUGAAAUUAAACAUUGGUUUUACGAUAGAAAUGCUAAAACAUCCUUAGAAUUAAUUAAGUGGGAGAGCCCAGGAUACACUAUGUUUACAUACCGUGACGUGUGACAAAUGAAUACACUGUAUCUAAACAUCUAAGAGGCUUCAAAGCCUGUUGAAGCUUCUCUUUUAUUCGUACACAACUACGUUCAAUCCAAACUUGCUAACCCCUCCUUUUCGGUUUACAGGUCUCAUCUUAAAAAUUUCUGAUUUCCGUUAUAUUAGGCUCAUUUUAANNNNNNNNNNNNNNNNNNNNNNNNNNNNNNNNNNNNNNNNNNNNNNNNNNNNNNNNNNNNNNNNNNNNNNNNNNNNNNNNNNNNNNNNNNNNNNNNNNNNCUACUAGUGUUGUUUGGUGAGACCUUUUGUGGCGGUACUAUUUAAAGAUUUGCCUUACACUCGGUAAACUCUUGACCACUACCAGACAGCCAUGUGUCCAUCAGGUUUGCCUUACCUUUCUCGGCACAAAGCAAAGCUUUACCGAGUGCGACACUAAUCAAACUCGUGUCCUAGAAGCUAUCACAUAGUGCCACGUGUCAUGUUUGCCUAGCGUUGCAUUGAGGAAACACGUCAUAUUUAAUUUUUGGAAAGCCAUGCAAAUAAAGAUCAAUUCAUUAAAAUAUAUUUUAUCAUCACAUAUAGCUGAAGAACCCAUUGAUGGAAAACCAACCUGAACUUGAAUGGUUAGGAGGACAGUAGCAUUAUCCUUGGACUUAUUUUCAUCGUGUGCGAGUCAUCUAUAAUGACUUCGUAAAAUCCCAAGAUGCCAUGCCGACGCAGUUUUGCAAAGGCAUUCAUAAAGAUAGAAUGUAAAGAUAGAAUGUGCUUCCGUGCGUUCACAAGCUUCGAGUGUAUGCAAGGGCGUUGCCAGGCCCCAGGCUACCUUUGUUGAUUUUAGCUUUAUUUUCUGACAAUAGUUAUCACUGUAGCAAUGAUGUUGGCCCAUCGCUAAUCUCUGACCUGGCUAUGUCAAUUGUGUAUGUGAACCAAUUUGACUGUAGUGUGUUUCAAAAAGAAUUGAUGGACUAGUGGGCGAAAGUAGCCAGUCAAAAAAAAAAAGGAAAGAGAUGAAGUAUACAAAUUAUAUUGACCCCGAGACUAGCUUUUUUUCAGAAAAGAAGGAAGACCCCCGGCCUUUGCAUCUGAGCAAUGCAUGCAGCCAUUUUAUUAAUUAUUUACAAAGACCUUACAAGGUCAUACAUCAGUAAGACUGAAGUCACCGUCUAGACAACAUAUGUCGCUAGUUCUAUAUAGUUGAUGAAGGGAUGCUGAUAGUCUGGGUCUAAUACCAAACAGACCUCGCAGCCAAACCUAACAUCUAAGACCUGAUGCCCCAACCAAGCCACCUGCUUGGUAUGGGGCACCCACCGGUGCGGCGCACACUGACAGGUCGUCGCCGCCAACUGUCAUUAAUACAUCUUCAAAACUGUACUGACGCAUCCACCUUGCCCGGUCUAGCUGCCGUCGACGCCACCACGACGCCAGACAGCGUCGCCCUCCAGCGCGAGUCCAUCCUCGCAUAUCAGACGCCUAAUCACCAGGGCGUCUCGCCAUCGAGAUCCGUCGCCCUCAAUGUACAGGAUGAAGCACCGCUCCACCGAAGAAAACAUCCACUGGUCCCCGAACCCGGGUACACCUCCAAGAGAUGAAGUAUAUAAAUUAUAUUGACCCCGAGACUAGCUGGUGAUUGGAAUUAUUUUCCCAACUGACUAUAAAGGAUAUCACAUGGUCAUCGAUUAGGAAUUCACAAGUCACACUCACAUGCAUGCAUGCAUGCGUGUCAACAUAGCUAAUUCAAUUGUUUUUUAAAUGUGAAAGCCCAAUACUGAGCUACAGACAGCUACACCAAGACUUCUUCUACGUGCUUAUCUGUAUAUGAUUUGGUCGUUGCUUCGUUAAGGACAUCUGAAGCUUGUGUUCGGACGAGCACAUGUACAAGCUCGGUUACAGCCUACACGUAGAUGUAGUUGAAGACUUACACACCAAGUCUUUGUGUAUAUGCUUUGAUUCUAAAUCAAAUCAUGUUGCUUAAUUACUCAAACCGCGUCUCAAGCCAUUAUUUCUUUUGUGUAGUUAGUUGGGUACUAAUACUACGCGCCCCACACAUGCACGCAUCUUAUACAUCUAGACUAUAUAUAAACCUCCACAGCGCGCUGCAAAACAAAAAACACCCAAUCCCAAACCCAACCCAAGAGGAAGAACACACGAAGCAAACGUCCAUCGGGCAUGACGAUCCACCACCACAGCCAUGGGUGCCCGCUUGUCCGCCAUGAGCACGGCGACUUCACCUGCGACGGCUGCGGCCGCGGUGGAAGGGGUGCCCGCUACCGCUGCCACGGCUGCAAUUUCGACCUGCAUCUCUCCUGUGCCACGUACAACUUCCCCUGCCAUGGUCACCCGCUCAAGUAUCAGCCGCGCUGUCCUUCAGGUGUCCAGAUCAUCUGCGAUGCUUGUAACACAAACGUGUGCGGUGCACACUAUGGUUGCGCUGGCUGCGACUUCCAAGUCCAC